RNAcentral lists this transfer RNA (85 nucleotides) under Methylomonas sp. Its description in RNAcentral is "tRNA-Tyr". It matches the Rfam family "tRNA". From Rfam's summary of the family: Transfer RNA (tRNA) molecules are approximately 80 nucleotides in length. The record is from RNAcentral. RNAcentral also lists the same sequence under 52 other names. Lineage: Bacteria; Pseudomonadati; Pseudomonadota; Gammaproteobacteria; Methylococcales; Methylococcaceae.
GGAGGGGUUCCCGAGCGGCCAAAGGGAUCAGACUGUAAAUCUGCCGGUUCUACCUUCGGAGGUUCGAAUCCUCCCCCCUCCACCA